RNAcentral lists this non-coding RNA (166 nucleotides) under uncultured Dysosmobacter sp. RNAcentral's name for it is "Lysine riboswitch". It matches the Rfam family "Lysine riboswitch aptamer". Rfam says of the family: Riboswitches are metabolite binding domains within certain messenger RNAs that serve as precision sensors for their corresponding targets. Lineage: Bacteria; Bacillati; Bacillota; Clostridia; Eubacteriales; Oscillospiraceae. The record is from RNAcentral.
UGAUAGAGGCGCGGCUGAUAAGAGUAUCCGUCCGGGAGACAGGCAACGGAGGACGGAAAAAGGGUCAGCCGCCGAAGAAUCGGUCUGUUUGCCUGAUGGACCGGUAUCUGGGCUGUCGGAGAAGAUCUGGCAGACUGUCGCCCGGAGGCGGGCGGAGCGCUGUUGU